Molecule: ribosomal RNA, 545 nt
Filed under: Citrobacter sp. CK202
Lineage: Bacteria; Pseudomonadati; Pseudomonadota; Gammaproteobacteria; Enterobacterales; Enterobacteriaceae
Description: partial 23S ribosomal RNA
Rfam family: Bacterial large subunit ribosomal RNA
Source: RNAcentral
GGUUAAGCGACCAAGCGUACACGGUGGAUGCCCUGGCAGUCAGAGGCGAUGAAGGACGUGCUAAUCUGCGAAAAGCGCCGGCGAGGUGAUAUGAACCCUUGACCCGGCGAUGUCCGAAUGGGGAAACCCGGUGCACUACGGUGCAUCAUCGUUUGAUGAAUACAUAGUCAAACGAGGCGAACCGGGGGAACUGAAACAUCUAAGUACCCCGAGGAAAAGAAAUCAACCGAGAUUCCCCCAGUAGCGGCGAGCGAACGGGGAGGAGCCCAGAGCCUGAAUCAGCUUGUGUGUUAGUGGAAGCGUCUGGAAAGUCGCACGGUACAGGGUGAAAGUCCCGUACACGAAAAUGCACAGGCUGUGAGCUCGAUGAGUAGGGCGGGACACGUGGUAUCCUGUCUGAAUAUGGGGGGACCAUCCUCCAAGGCUAAAUACUCCUGACUGACCGAUAGUGAACCAGUACCGUGAGGGAAAGGCGAAAAGAACCCCGGCGAGGGGAGUGAAAAAGAACCUGAAACCGUGUACGUACAAGCAGUGGGAGCCUCUUU